UCUCCUACGGGGCGCAGCAGUGGGGAAUAUUGCACAAUGGGGGAAACCCUGAUGCAGCGACGCCGCGUGAGUGAAGAAGUAUUUCGGUACGUAAAGCUCUAUCAGCAGGGAAGAAAAAAAGUCCUUUGGACUUUGGACGGUACCUGACUAAGAAGCCCCGGCUAACUACGUGCCAGCAGCCGCGGUAAUACGUAGGGGGCAAGCGUUAUCCGGAUUUACUGGGUGUAAAGGGAGCGUAGACGGCGGAACAAGUCAGAAGUGAAAACCCGGGGCUCAACCCUGGGAGUGCUUUUGAAACUGUUUGG
RNAcentral lists this ribosomal RNA (305 nucleotides) under uncultured bacterium. RNAcentral describes it as "bacterial SSU rRNA". It matches the Rfam family "Bacterial small subunit ribosomal RNA", at positions 335 to 640 of the family's 1533-position model. The record is from RNAcentral.